AUACGAAGGGGGCUAGCGUUGCUCGGAAUGACUGGGCGUAAAGGGUCGUGUAGGCGGUUUUGACAGUCAGAUGUGAAAUCCCCGGGCUUAACCUGGGAGCUGCAUUUGAGACGUUAAGACUAGAGUGUGAGAGAGGGUUGUGGAAUUCCCAGUGUAGAGGUGAAAUUCGUAGAUAUUGGGAAGAACACCGGUGGCGAAGGCGGCAACCUGGCUCGUUACUGACGCUGAGGCGCGAAAGCGUGGGAAGC
RNAcentral lists this ribosomal RNA (248 nucleotides) under uncultured bacterium. RNAcentral's name for it is "partial 16S ribosomal RNA". It matches the Rfam family "Bacterial small subunit ribosomal RNA", at positions 523 to 769 of the family's 1533-position model. The record is from RNAcentral.